UGGUCUAAGUUUCAGACCUUCAAUGCGGCGGCGUUAAAAUAGUUGGCGUAAGUUUGGAUGGAUUCUCUCUCCUUUUGCUUGAUGUUGAUGAGGGACACCGAACAUCUCCGGAGAUGCCGGCUGCUGACAAAAUGAGCCACAAACUGAUGGCUCAUUUGAUCAAAGGAGAAGACAGUACCCAGCUUCAGUGUUGAGUAUCAGUUUCUUGCUGCUCUCUUCAAGG
Molecule: long non-coding RNA, 223 nt
Filed under: Elaeis guineensis (African oil palm)
Lineage: Eukaryota; Viridiplantae; Streptophyta; Magnoliopsida; Arecales; Arecaceae
Description: long non-coding RNA (EGUI_LNC079864)
Source: RNAcentral